GACGAACGCUGGCGGCGUGCCUAAUACAUGCAAGUCGAGCGGACGAAUCGAAAGCUUGCUUUUGAUUCGUUAGCGGCGGACGGGUGAGUAACACGUGGGCAACCUGCCCUGUAGACGGGGAUAACACCGAGAAAUCGGUGCUAAUACCGGAUAACACGAAAUGUCGCAUGACGUUUCGUUGAAAGACGGCGCAAGCUGUCGCUACAGGAUGGGCCCGCGGCGCAUUAGCUAGUUGGUGAGGUAACGGCUCACCAAGGCGACGAUGCGUAGCCGACCUGAGAGGGUGAUCGGCCACACCGGGACUGAGACACGGCCCAGACUCCUACGGGAGGCAGCAGUAGGGAAUCUUCCGCAAUGGACGAAAGUCUGACGGAGCAACGCCGCGUGAGCGAAGAAGGCCUUCGGGUCGUAAGGCUCUGUUGUUAGGGAAGAACAAGUAACGCAGUAACUGGCGUUACCGUGACGGUACCUAACGAGAAAGCCACGGCUAACUACGUG
This 498-nucleotide ribosomal RNA is filed under the name uncultured bacterium. Its description in RNAcentral is "partial 16S ribosomal RNA". It matches the Rfam family "Bacterial small subunit ribosomal RNA", at positions 28 to 507 of the family's 1533-position model. The record is from RNAcentral.